This 1020-nucleotide long non-coding RNA is filed under the name Volvox carteri. RNAcentral's name for it is "long non-coding RNA (VCAR_LNC003971)". Lineage: Eukaryota; Viridiplantae; Chlorophyta; Chlorophyceae; Chlamydomonadales; Volvocaceae. The record is from RNAcentral.
UGCUGUGUUCAAGCAUGACAAGUUAAAUCACCAGCUCGCACCGUCCGACAGGCACAGCAUUGUUGAUGUAACUAGCUAAAACAUGUGGGAGGUGCGUUAGUCUCAACCGCAGGCGCGGCGGCGGCGGGAAAUAGCAACACAGCAGCACCUCCCAGUUCCACUGCCAUUGAUGCCGCUGCUGCUGCGUUGCUAGGCCCUGCCGCCACCGCGCCUGCUGUGUGAGGUUACUGCACCUCCCAGCCCCAAAGUCGUCGCUGCCGCUGUUACUAUGUUGCUAGGCCCCGCUGCUGCCGAACUUGCUGUUUAGGCUACUGCACCUCUUAGCCCCACCACCAUCGCCGCCACCCCUGCUGUUGAGACUAAUGCAUCUCCAAACCCCACCGCCGUCGCUGCCGCUGCUGCGGUGUUGCUAUUUCCCGCCGCCGCCGCGCCUGGUGUUUAGGCUACUGCACCUCCCAGCCCCACCGCCGUCGCUGCCGCUGCUGCUGCGUUGCUAUUUCCCGCCGCCGCCGCGCCUGCCGUUUAGGCUACUGCACCUCCCAGCCCCACUGCCGUCGCUGCCGCUGCUGCUGUGUUGCUAAUUCCCGCCGCCGCCGCGCCUGCCGUUUAGGCUACUGCACCUCCCAGCCCCACCGCCGUCGCUGCCGCUGCUGCUGUGUUGCUAUUUCCCGCCGCCGCCGCGCCUGCCGUUUAGGCUACUGCACCUCCCAGCCCCACCGCCGUCGCUGCCGCUGCUGCUGUGUUGCUAUUUCCCGCCGCCUCCGCGCCUGUUGUUCAGACUAAUGCACCUCCCAGCCCCACCGCCGUCGCUGCCGCUGCUGCUGUGUUGCUAAUUCCCGCCGCCGCCGCGCCUGCCGUUUAGGCUACUGCACCUCCCAGCCCCACCGCCGUCGCUGCCGCUGCUGCUGUGUUGCUAUUUCCCGCCGCCGCCGCGCCUGCCGUUUAGGCUACUGCACCUCCCAGCCCCACCGCCGUCGCUGCCGCUGCUGCUGCGUUGCUAUUUCCCGCCGCCGCCGCGCC